Molecule: long non-coding RNA, 673 nt
Organism: Chenopodium quinoa (quinoa)
Lineage: Eukaryota; Viridiplantae; Streptophyta; Magnoliopsida; Caryophyllales; Amaranthaceae
Exons: 4
Source: RefSeq, a predicted model, not a curated record
UAGUUAUUACUAUUAGGGUUUCUCUCCAGCCAUCAACCUUACUUAUUGGCCUCACCCCUCUUUAUCCUCUCUCCUCUAUCGUCACUUCCACACACACACUUCUCUCAUCUCGAUGGUAAACCAAGGUAAUUAGACCAUUGUUUCUCCUUCCACAUACAAUACCAAGGGUGGGUGUCACGGGUCAGAACAGUUGUGUUUGUGGUUGUCAGAUAGCUUUGUGGGUGUAAAUCUGGGUUCGUGGUGUAAAUCUGGGUAAGUGUACGGCGGUGGUGAUGACAAAAAAUGGUUGUAAAUUUGACAUCGAAAUCUGAUAUAAUCGAGGUUGGUGGAGGACCCUUGAAUCAUUCUUUCUCAUCCAAGAACUCCAACCUUGGAAUUAAAUUUGCUCACUUUUAGCCAUUUCAUCUCAAUCUCACUUUCAAUCGUUCUUCAAAGCUGCGUGCUUUGCCUGAAAUUAGAGUUCAAACUGUUUCAGGUGGAGCAUAUAAUAUCUACACAAGGGAGCUUAAGACUCAACGUAUCGGACCACAAAUGUUGGGAUAAAACUUGUUUUAUUACAAUUAUGAUUUGUUUUUGCUCUUUUAAUUCUUAGUCUUAAGAUGUAAACUUGGGACAUUAUAUGAGCAAGUUGAUAUAUUUUGAAGUGAUAAUGAAUAUAUUUUUUCUUAUAGUA